RNAcentral lists this ribosomal RNA (395 nucleotides) under uncultured bacterium. RNAcentral describes it as "bacterial SSU rRNA". It matches the Rfam family "Bacterial small subunit ribosomal RNA", at positions 28 to 416 of the family's 1533-position model. The record is from RNAcentral.
GACGAACGCUGGCGGCGCGCUUAACACAUGCAAGUCGAGCGAGAACCAGGGCUUCGGCCCUGGGGACAGCGGCGAACGGGUGAGUAACACGUGGAUAACCUGCCCUCGGCACCGGGAUAGCCCGGGGAAACUCGGAUUAAUACCGGAUAGCCCUUCCGACUCUCGAGUCGGUCCGAAAAGGUAGCUUCGGCCUCUGGCCGAGGAUGGGUCCGCGGCGGAUUAGCUUGUUGGUGGGGUAACGGCCUACCAAGGCUCCGAUCCGUAGCUGGUCUGAGAGGACGAUCAGCCACACUGGGACUGAGACACGGCCCAGACUCCUACGGGAGGCAGCAGUGGGGAAUCUUGCGCAAUGGGCGAAAGCCUGACGCAGCGACGCCGCGUGAGGGAUGACGGCC